This 483-nucleotide ribosomal RNA is filed under the name uncultured Pseudomonadota bacterium. RNAcentral's name for it is "bacterial SSU rRNA". It matches the Rfam family "Bacterial small subunit ribosomal RNA", at positions 1 to 526 of the family's 1533-position model. Lineage: Bacteria; Pseudomonadati; Pseudomonadota. The record is from RNAcentral.
ACUAGCAGUAAGAGUUUGAUCAUGGCUCAGAACGAACGCUGGCGGCAUGCCUAACACAUGCAAGUCGAGCGCUCUCGUUCGGAGGGAGCGGCGGACGGGUGAGUAACGCGUGGGAACGUGCCCCUUGGUGCGGAACAACAGCUGGAAACGGCUGCUAAUACCGCAUGAUGUCUACGGACCAAAGAUUUAUCGCCAAGGGAUCGGCCCGCGUCGGAUUAGGUAGUUGGUGGGGUAACGGCCCACCAAGCCGACGAUCCGUAGCUGGUUUGAGAGGAUGAUCAGCCACACUGGGACUGAGACACGGCCCAGACUCCUACGGGAGGCAGCAGUGGGGAAUCUUGGACAAUGGGGGCAACCCUGAUCCAGCCAUGCCGCGUGAGCGAUGAAGGCCCUAGGGUUGUAAAGCUCUUUCACCCGCGAAGAUAAUGACGGUAGCGGGAGAAGAAGCCCCGGCUAACUCCGUGCCAGCCGCCGCGGUAAUUC